RNAcentral lists this long non-coding RNA (1144 nucleotides) under Ornithorhynchus anatinus (platypus). RNAcentral's name for it is "lncRNA (ENSOANG00000040115.1)". The record is from RNAcentral. Lineage: Eukaryota; Metazoa; Chordata; Mammalia; Monotremata; Ornithorhynchidae.
AUUCCAGCACAAGGAGGGUUAACACGUGGCUCUGAGCUUUCCAGUCACCAUUACUGCCCAAGUUGGGGGAAAAGGAGAUUGAGUGAGGGGGGGAGGGAGAAGGGAGGAAGUAAUGGGGGAGGGAGAUGCUGUUUGCAGACACAUUGCUCCUUUGCAACAGAUGUUUCAUCAGUGUUAGACAAAAGCAAAGAGCCUUGAGCUGCUGAGAGAAAAUCCGCAGGACUCCCUUAGGGCCAGGUGCCUUGAGGAGCUGCAGCCAGAGCCGGGUACCAUCACCUAUUGGACAGUUACAGAGGAGACAUUUCCACCGAGCACAGCCUGAGAAGAAAAUCAAGGUCAGAAGAGUGAUUUCUCCUAGCUGAAACACAAGCUCAGAAAGAAAUCCUGCAUGGUAGGCUCUCCUUCCCUUGAAUCUUCCACCCACCACGGGCAGCAAAAAAGGACCAGGCUCCCAGAGGCCCGGCCUGGAAGGAAUUCUGCUCAGGAAGAGUCGCUGAGACCACCCAAAUUGCCGGGGAACAGAGGCCCUGGCCACCCCAGGAGCCGGGCCGAACUGGCAACCUCUGCGUUCUCCAGCCGCAGCCAAGCAGGAGGACGGCAGCUUGACCACAGCCCUGGAUCAAGCCUGCGGAUCACGCCAUGUCGGGCCUGGGAAGAGCUUCGAGUUCUCUCCUGCCCGUGUGUGGCUGUGCCAGCCAACAUCAUGGGGCAGACUGCCCUAGCCAGGUGGCCCAAGUCCGACUCCUCCCAGGGCCUCAAACCCACCCCAUUGACUGUUUCUCCCCCUAAAAGUGGAGCUAGCGGCUGUCCCCCCAGAAUAAAGAGCAGACAGGGUGGGCGGAGAGGGGGCUGCGACUCUCCUUCCCUGGAUCUCUCCUUUGUCAAUUCUUGAAGGCUCCUGGCUCUGCUUUUCUGUUCCGCUUCUCCAAAGGAACUCAGAGGCCCUGCCCUCUGCCCCCACUCUCCCUGGCUGUGAUUCACUGCUCCCACUGGCUCCGCCCCAGCCCCAGCCCCAGCCCUAAGGAGGGCUUACAUUUGCCAAGGAAAAACUCACAGGCUUUCAGAUCUGUCCAAAGAGGACCAUUCUCAGCAGGCAGGGAGGGAAGAAGGGAUCAAGGAGAGGCCAGGGUAUUUCUUCCCCUUA